UAUCCUUAUUAAGAUCCAGUUUUCUAUUUUCUUCUAGGAAUGUUUUGUUCAUCAUCAAUGUUUCUCACCCAGAGAGGGUUAAUAUGUGGCUGAAGCAGAAGAACCAACUCAUUAAAUUAAGUUCUGAAUAACAAGGUCUCAAGAAAGUGAAGGCACAUGAAAGGGCAGCCAGCAAGGAGGUGACCCCCACCUGCUCUGACCUCUGAGGCUUGCAUGAGCAUCCUCCCAACAACRAAUAUUCUAGUGAGGUGUUUAUGGUGUGUUUAUCAGCACUUUGCCUGGCUUUGGUGGACUCCAGACAUUAUACCAAGUAUCCAGUGUUCAUGGCGUCAGUGCAAUUGCAAGUCAUCAAGACAUACUGCUGGAAUAACGUGGCCCAGACUUCAAGAUUCAAGCAAGCAGUGUUUUUAUCCUAGCAAGAGCAGUUCAACUGUGGGUCAGAUGCUGAUGCUCUUAGGAGCAGGACAAGAAGGAACAGUAAAAGUAUGAGAAAAAGAUUCCAUGAGUAGCAAGGAAAAUGCUUCGGAGAAAACAGAAAAACUGAAAUAAGGAAUGCUUUGGAAUUAUAGCCCAUUCRGUGGAGAAAGAAACCAUAUCUAGCUCUGGAACAGGAUGGCCAKAAAUGCUGAUGCUGUGCUCAUCCCAAGUGGUAUGUUGGCACACAGAAGGAAAAGAGCAAGGAGAAGACAAACCCUCAAGAACUUAGCUUGGAUGGACAACAGGGCCUGACUGACUUUUUCCCUGCAUGUGUUGUUUACUGAAUGUAAAUGUUCAAAGCUGUUAAAAAGGAAGAGUAAACUUAGAAUUUAUACAAACUUGCAUGCCAUUCAGAAUAAAAAUGUAAUUUGUUAUUUCUCUCUGUUUAAGCAGAAAAUUAUGCUCUAURCAGAACUUGAUUAACUUGGCAAUUUUUAAUCUUGUUUUCAUUCUGAAUAAAAAUGUAAACAAAAACCACAGAUCUACUUUUACAGAUGAUCAGAUUGAAGCUACAGGAACUUUGUGUGAGUGUGUCAUUUGACUUUAUUACUUUUUAUGUGUGUUUAAUAUGUAAGUUUUGAUCUGUUAGGAAAUU
Long non-coding RNA from Nothoprocta perdicaria, 1072 nucleotides. RefSeq lists it as uncharacterized. The record is from RefSeq and is a predicted model, not a curated record. The transcript has 5 exons. Lineage: Eukaryota; Metazoa; Chordata; Aves; Tinamiformes; Tinamidae.